AUUGAACGCUGGCGGCAUGCCUUACACAUGCAAGUCGAACGGCAGCGGGGACUUCGGUCCGCCGGCGAGUGGCGAACGGGUGAGUAAUGCAUCGGAACGUACCCGGGAGUGGGGGAUAACUAUCCGAAAGGAUAGCUAAUACCGCAUAUUCUGUGAGCAGGAAAGCAGGGGAUCUUCGGACCUUGUGCUUCCGGAGCGGCCGAUGUCAGAUUAGCUAGUUGGUGGGGUAAAGGCCUACCAAGGCGACGAUCUGUAGCGGGUCUGAGAGGAUGAUCCGCCACACUGGAACUGAGACACGGUCCAGACUCCUACGGGAGGCAGCAGUGGGGAAUUUUGGACAAUGGGCGCAAGCCUGAUCCAGCCAUGCCGCGUGAGUGAAGAAGGCCUUCGGGUUGUAAAGCUCUUUCGGCCGGGAAGAAAUCGCAUAGGUUAAUACCCUGUGUGGAUGACGGUACCGGAAUAAGAAGCACCGGCUAACUACGUGCCAGCAGCCGCGGUAA
RNAcentral lists this ribosomal RNA (500 nucleotides) under uncultured bacterium. RNAcentral describes it as "partial 16S ribosomal RNA". It matches the Rfam family "Bacterial small subunit ribosomal RNA", at positions 30 to 523 of the family's 1533-position model. The record is from RNAcentral.